Nannospalax galili (Upper Galilee mountains blind mole rat) is the source of this 101-nucleotide small nucleolar RNA. RefSeq annotates it as small nucleolar RNA U13. The record is from RefSeq and is a predicted model, not a curated record. The transcript has a single exon. NCBI's taxonomy places the organism in Eukaryota, Metazoa, Chordata, Mammalia, Rodentia, Spalacidae.
AUCCUUUUCUGGUUCAUAAGCAUGAUCAUUGGGUGUUCACAGGGCUGCGUGACAUGUGCCACCCUCAAACCUUGUUACACAUGUUUAUUACCUGUCUGACG